This 495-nucleotide ribosomal RNA is filed under the name uncultured bacterium. Its description in RNAcentral is "partial 16S ribosomal RNA". It matches the Rfam family "Bacterial small subunit ribosomal RNA", at positions 28 to 507 of the family's 1533-position model. The record is from RNAcentral.
GACGAACGCUGGCGGCGUGCCUAAUACAUGCAAGUAGAACGCUGAAGGGGGAGCUUGCUUCUCCGGAUGAGUUGCGAACGGGUGAGUAACGCGUAGGUAACCUGCCUGGUAGCGGGGGAUAACUAUUGGAAACGAUAGCUAAUACCGCAUAAGAGUAGAUGUCGCAUGACAUUUGCUUAAAAGGUGCAACUGCACCACUACCAGAUGGACCUGCGUUGUAUUAGCUAGUUGGUGAGGUAACGGCUCACCAAGGCAACGAUACAUAGCCGACCUGAGAGGGUGAUCGGCCAAACUGGGACGGGGACACGGCCCAGACUCCUACGGGAGGCAGCAGUAGGGAAUCUUCGGCAAGGGGCGGAAGUCUGACCGAGAAACGCGGCGGGAGUGAAGAAGGUUUUCGGGUCGUAAAGCUCUGUUGUAAGAGAAGAACGAGUGUGGGAGUGGAAAGUUCACACUGUGAGGGUAUCUUACAAGAAAGAGACGGCUAACUACGUG